Molecule: ribosomal RNA, 242 nt
Filed under: uncultured Micrococcaceae bacterium
Lineage: Bacteria; Bacillati; Actinomycetota; Actinomycetes; Micrococcales; Micrococcaceae
Description: partial 16S ribosomal RNA
Rfam family: Bacterial small subunit ribosomal RNA
Source: RNAcentral
GGGCGCAAGCGUUAUCCGGAAUUAUUGGGCGUAAAGAGCUCGUAGGCGGUUUGUCGCGUCUGCCGUGAAAGUCCGGGGCUCAACUCCGGAUCUGCGGUGGGUACGGGCAGACUAGAGUGAUGUAGGGGAGACUGGAAUUCCUGGUGUAGCGGUGAAAUGCGCAGAUAUCAGGAGGAACACCGAUGGCGAAGGCAGGUCUCUGGGCAUUAACUGACGCUGAGGAGCGAAAGCAUGGGGAGCGA